AAGUCGUAACAAGGUUUCCGUAGGUGAACCUGCGGAAGGAUCAUUACCAAAUCCAAUAACAAACCACUGUGAACUGUAUCCAUGUCUUUGGGGGUAGAACGAUGUCUGUGCAAACAGUCAUUGGUCUCCCCCAAAAGGAACAACACACACCUUCGGGUUGUGCGUUUUCCUCUAUUGAACACCUUCAAACUUUGAUGGAUUGUUUUUCAAACGAUUAACAAAGACAACUUUUAACGGUGGAUCUCUUGGCUCGU
This 254-nucleotide unclassified non-coding RNA is filed under the name fungal sp. Its description in RNAcentral is "partial internal transcribed spacer region". The stretch from base 1 to 46 matches the Rfam family "Eukaryotic small subunit ribosomal RNA", at positions 1786 to 1831 of the family's 1831-position model. The record is from RNAcentral. Lineage: Eukaryota; Fungi.